CAGAGCAGAGCGGAGUGAAACUUCACGAUAACCGCAAACCCUUGAGUGGAAAAGAGGCUCUGUCAACAGCAAUACAGUAUACAGGCAUAUUUACAGAAACCGCGAGGGAUAUGAAGGGACGGAUCCGUUUUCCAUUUGUACGCAUCGAUUUCCGUUGCAGUCCGCAGACGCCGGUGACGCGUGGUGCAAUAUGGCUUCUUUUGUGAACUGACUGGCGAGCCAGCUCGCAUACAUUACGGGGUUAGGGGCCAUGCGCGCUAGUACUGCAAUAAAUGAAGUGAUAUGUA
Molecule: long non-coding RNA, 287 nt
Organism: Anguilla anguilla (European eel)
Lineage: Eukaryota; Metazoa; Chordata; Actinopteri; Anguilliformes; Anguillidae
Exons: 2
Source: RefSeq, a predicted model, not a curated record